Molecule: ribosomal RNA, 603 nt
Filed under: uncultured fungus
Lineage: Eukaryota; Fungi
Description: eukaryotic LSU rRNA
Rfam family: Eukaryotic large subunit ribosomal RNA
Source: RNAcentral
ACCCGCUGAACUUAAGCAUAUCAAUAAGCGGAGGAAAAGAAACCAACAGGGAUUGCCCUAGUAACGGCGAGUGAAGCGGCAACAGCUCAAAUUUGAAAUCUGGCGUCUUUGGCGUCCGAGUUGUAAUUUGCAGAGGGCGCUUUGGCAUUGGCAGCGGUCCAAGUUCCUUGGAACAGGACGUCACAGAGGGUGAGAAUCCCGUACGUGGUCGCUAGCCUUUACCGUGUAAAGCCCCUUCGACGAGUCGAGUUGUUUGGGAAUGCAGCUCUAAAUGGGAGGUAAAUUUCUUCUAAAGCUAAAUACUAGCCAGAGACCGAUAGCGCACAAGUAGAGUGAUCGAAAGAUGAAAAGCACUUUGGAAAGAGAGUUAAAAAGCACGUGAAAUUGUUGAAAGGGAAGCGCUUGCAGCCAGACUUGCCUGUAGUUGCUCAUCCGGGUUUUUACCCGGUGCACUCUUCUAUAGGCAGGCCAGCAUCAGUUUGGGCGGUUGGAUAAAGGUCUCUGUCAUGUACCUCUCUUCGGGGAGAACUUAUAGGGGAGACGACAUGCAACCAGCCCGGACUGAGGUCCGCGCAUCUGCUAGGAUGCUGGCGUAAUGGCUGU